CGCUGGCACCUUUUCCCUUACGGAGAUCCCAAACAAAGCCAUUCUAAGCAUCCAUAUUACAGGUGACCAAGAUGGAGCCAGGAUGCUAACACCAGCUCAUCCUGUAACCGCCUUGAACUAGGAGAAGAAGCAGGGAGCAAGUAAAACCCUGGAAGGAAUUGCCAACAAGCAGUUACUAAAAGAGAAGGAAUGAGUAAGGAGGAUGAACAUGUUGUCUUUCCAGUUCAGGUUCCAUUGGCUGUAUAGAAGACGGGGCAAAGCAAAGUGGAACAUAUGUUGAAGUUUUUCCGACAAGCAACUGUAUCAGAUUCAUUUGUCUCUGAAAGAAAGAAAAAAAGGGCAGGGGAGAAAAUAUGGAAGGGGAGCCAGUGUGGGACCCCUCCAGAUGACGCCCAUCAUCCCAGACCAUCUGGCUGGCAUUGUCUUGGCUGCCCCUGGAACUGAGAUGCAUCUUACCCAGAGCAGCAGGGAACACCAGCGGGAGGAGAGCGAAGAGAAGAAAAAGGGAUUUCAUGCUGAGUACUGCUGCGAGAGAUCCUGAAGUCUUCAGAAAAGAGAAGACAGAGACACACAGUGAGGAGGAAGAUUGCACCUCCAUUUAUAGUGGCACAGUGAAACUGGGAGGUACCCUGGGCAAGAAGAGUGAGAUUCGGCCUGGACACCAUAAGGAUAACACCACUAUCAAUAAAUUCCUGUUACUUGGAGUGACUUGGUUGACCUCAGAAGAUGGGGAAGCCUGUUGGGGGGAGGGGGAAACUACUUAAAUAAUAUCAGGGUUGAUGCAGAGGGUCUUGCUAAUGGGCAGAACUAAAAAGAAUUUAAUAGUAUUAACAAAAAGCCUCAUUAUAGGGUCCCUGGCUUCUGAUUCUGAACCUAUCUAUCACACACAAACUGCCUUUGAAUUUUAUGUAUGAUAAGCAAGAGAAUGGUGGGAGGGGCCUCAGAAAAGCCUCUCCCUGAAUGUCACAAAUGAUGAUGUCACAGGGAUUCUGCAGUGAAGGUUCUGUUCUGCAUCCAUUGGAGGCCCAGCUGAGACCGGUAGCAGAAACCGGUGGCAGCCCUUGAAAGACAGGAAUACUUGGAUAUAAAUACUGUCCUGCCAGCCCCGCUGUCCAUAGACUCUCCAAUUUGAUGUUGGUGGGAAAUAGUCUGCUAUUAUAGAUUCUUCACACAGGCUUUAGAGGCAGGAAGGAGAGUGCAAUUUGAGUUCCAGCU
This is a non-coding RNA of Zootoca vivipara (common lizard), 1215 nucleotides long. NCBI's taxonomy places the organism in Eukaryota, Metazoa, Chordata, Lepidosauria, Squamata, Lacertidae. The record is from RefSeq and is a predicted model, not a curated record.